UAGCCGUAAACGAUACUCGCUAGGUGUCGGCCACGGUGCGACCGUUGUCGGUGCCGUAGGGAAGCCGUGAAGCGAGCCACCUGGGAAGUACGGCCGCAAGGCUGAAACUUAAAGGAAUUGGCGGGGGAGCACCACAACGGGUGGAGCUUGCGGUUUAAUUGGAUUCAAACGCCGGAAAUCUUACCGGGACCGACAGCAACAUGAAGGCCAAGCUGAAGACUUUGCCGGAUUAGCUGAGAGGAGGUGCAUGGCGU
Molecule: ribosomal RNA, 254 nt
Filed under: uncultured archaeon
Lineage: Archaea
Description: partial 16S ribosomal RNA
Rfam family: Archaeal small subunit ribosomal RNA
Source: RNAcentral